GUUUGAUCCUGGCUCAGGAUGAACGCUAGCGGCAGGCUUAACACAUGCAAGUCGAGGGGUAUAGUUCUUCGGAACUAGAGACCGGCGCACGGGUGCGUAACGCGUAUGCAAUCUACCUUUCACAGAGGGAUAGCCCAGAGAAAUUUGGAUUAAUACCUCAUAGUAUAAUGAGUUGGCAUCAACACAUUAUUAAAGUUACAACGGUGAAAGAUGAGCAUGCGUCCCAUUAGCUAGAUGGUAAGGUAACGGCUUACCAUGGCUACGAUGGGUAGGGGUCCUGAGAGGGAGAUCCCCCACACUGGUACUGAGACACGGACCAGGCUCCUACGGGAGGCAGCAGUGAGGAAUAUUGGUCAAUGGGCGCAAGCCUGAACCAGCCAUGCCGCGUGCAGGAUGACGGUCCUAUGGAUUGUAAACUGCUUUUGCACAGGAAGAAACAACAUUACGUGUAAUGUCUUGACGGUACUGUGAGAAUAAGGAUCGGCUAACUCCGUGCCAGCAGCCGCGGUAAUACGGAGGAUCCAAGCGUUAUCCGGAAUCAUUGGGUUUAAAGGGUCCGUAGGCGGUUUAGUAAGUCAGUGGUGAAAGCCCAUCGCUCAACGGUGGAACGGCCAUUGAUACUGCUAGACUUGAAUUAUUAGGAAGUAACUAGAAUAUGUAGUGUAGCGGUGAAAUGCUUAGAGAUUACAUGGAAUACCAAUUGCGAAGGCAGGUUACUACUAAUGGAUUGACGCUGAUGGACGAAAGCGUGGGUAGCGAACAGGAUUAGAUACCCUGGUAGUCCACGCCGUAAACGAUGGAUACUAGCUGUUGGGAGCAAUUUCAGUGGCUAGCGAAAGUGAUAAGUAUCCCACCUGGGGAGUACGUUCGCAAGAAUGAAACUCAAAGGAAUUGACG
This 897-nucleotide ribosomal RNA is filed under the name uncultured bacterium. Its description in RNAcentral is "bacterial SSU rRNA". It matches the Rfam family "Bacterial small subunit ribosomal RNA", at positions 11 to 915 of the family's 1533-position model. The record is from RNAcentral.